This 347-nucleotide transfer-messenger RNA is filed under the name Actinomycetota bacterium. RNAcentral's name for it is "Actinobacteria bacterium (hot springs metagenome) transfer-messenger RNA". It matches the Rfam family "transfer-messenger RNA". Rfam says of the family: Bacterial tmRNA, also known as 10Sa RNA or SsrA, is named for its dual tRNA and mRNA-like properties. Its role is to liberate the mRNA from a stalled ribosome. The record is from RNAcentral. Lineage: Bacteria; Bacillati; Actinomycetota.
GGGGGCGAAACGGCUUCGACAGGGAUCGGCGGCCGCGGUGGGAGCGAGCCGGGGACCCGCGCCCCGUCAACAAGCGGGAAGAAAAACAGACGCCGACAGCGAGUUGGCUCUGGCCGCUUAAUGACAGCGGCCCGUCCCUCCCCGGGAGGCCCGCGACCGGGGAAGGGGCGUCGCUCAGCGGGAUAGCCGAGGCCCGACUCCCGUAAGGCCGAGGGACAAAGCACGGGAUAGUUCCCGGCGAGCCCUCCGCCGGGCGGACCGGGAGCGAAACCCAAACGGCGGAUACGCUCGUAGAGCCCACGCGGUCGGAUUUCUGGACGGGGGUUCGACUCCCCCCGCCUCCACCA